This 74-nucleotide transfer RNA is filed under the name Mus musculus (house mouse). RNAcentral's name for it is "tRNA-Ser". Lineage: Eukaryota; Metazoa; Chordata; Mammalia; Rodentia; Muridae. The record is from RNAcentral.
GGUCGGAGAAUGGCUCAGCGGUUAAGAGCAUUGACUGCUGUUCCAGAAGUCCUGAGUUCAAUUCCCAGCAACCA